This is a non-coding RNA of Ictidomys tridecemlineatus (thirteen-lined ground squirrel), 561 nucleotides long. NCBI's taxonomy places the organism in Eukaryota, Metazoa, Chordata, Mammalia, Rodentia, Sciuridae. The record is from RefSeq and is a predicted model, not a curated record.
CUGCAAUGUAAAUGAUGCUUAGAAAGAUGAAGCAACUGCAUCAGAGUCAUUCCAGAGAGGGAAAUCAUAAGAAAUUAUGCUGAACUUCUCUGGUCCUAAAGAUCAGUAUGAUGAAGAUCAACCAAUUUCCCACAUUCGCCAUCCCCAACUAUUUCCAGAUUAUUCAUCCACAGCGGAUAGCUGUAAAUUCUUGGGCUCACAUUAAGAACAUUGCCUACCCAUAUAUUCCCAUUGUGAGGAACUUCUAACAUUCUUGAACUAACAGCUGCUUCUUGAACUUAGAUUUGACCAGAAAAAUCAUUUCUAUAUAGUUUUCUCAUCUAUCACAUCAUCUCCUACUAUCAACAUUUCUUGAUGUGCUUGUUGAAAAGACAACAAUAUUGAGCUACAAGAAGUUUGUGUGGAAUAUCUUCUAUAUUGUUAAUAUUGUUUUUGGUUUAUGUUGGAUAUGUCAGACCUGGAUUGUGUGUUUAUAUUAACUGUACUGAUGAUUAAUUGAGGUCUUUUCAUCACUAUCUCUGAGAUAUAGAACACAAUAAUGUUGCCAAAAUAUUAAAAUAU